UCUUCCUUUUCUUCUCUAUUUUCUUUCUCCAUUCCUCUAAGGUUAGAUACACCCCUUCUCCUCAAACUCUCUCCGUUCCCUUUCUCUUCCUCUCUUUCUCUCCCUUGCUCUCGUUCUUAUUUAUUUUGCAUUUCCCGACUUGACUCUUGGCUUCUUUAUCUGGGCCUCUCAGCAGCCGGAUUUCUUGCACACUUCUGCUACUUUCCAAUCCAUCCUUAAAUCUCUCUCCAUUGCCCACCAAUUUAGAAAUGCUCUUAAAGCAAGUCAAAGUCCUCCAUAUCCACCUUGACCCUUGCGUUUAUCAGUCACUUAUAUGCUCCCACCUUGCAGGCAGGAAAACCCAUAUUGCUUUCUCGAUUUUCCAACAACUCCUCCAUUCUGCAGCUUCCAAAAUCCAAUCUGAAACCUGCAAUUCACUGGGAACCUAAAGGAUGCCCGUAAGGUGUUGGAUGAAAUGCUUCACAGAGGCAUCGCUUUGACUACAGUUGGUUUCGGUGUGUUCGAAUUUUAGUUUCAGAGAAUCAACGACCGUCGCAGCAGCCCUGGAUUAGAGAUUUAAAAUGCUGGGUUUGCCUAGAGUUCAGGAGGCAGGGAAGCUUUGAUUUUGAUGCCCAGAGUUAGAAAGCCUAAUUACACC
This is a long non-coding RNA of Coffea eugenioides, 637 nucleotides long. RefSeq lists it as uncharacterized. The record is from RefSeq and is a predicted model, not a curated record. Lineage: Eukaryota; Viridiplantae; Streptophyta; Magnoliopsida; Gentianales; Rubiaceae. The transcript has 3 exons.